RNAcentral lists this long non-coding RNA (2273 nucleotides) under Gossypium barbadense (sea-island cotton). Its description in RNAcentral is "long non-coding RNA (GBAR_LNC021480)". The record is from RNAcentral. Lineage: Eukaryota; Viridiplantae; Streptophyta; Magnoliopsida; Malvales; Malvaceae.
UUUUCUGCAUUCCGAUCAGCCAAAAACGUCCUAAGGGUUUCUUCAAGCUGGUUUUUCAUAAUUUUUGCACCAAGUGAGUUAAUACUUGCCUUUUUCUUGUAAUUUUUGUAUUUCUAAGACUUUUACAACUAGGUCCUAUUACUAAAUGCAUUAGUUUUUGAUUUUAUGAAUGAAUUUUAAAGUUGCUAUGAAUAUGUGCUGGAAUUUUAUGAUGAAAUAGGAUGAAAUUGAAGCUUUAAUUUGUUUGUGAGAUGAUUUUAUUAGGUAAUUUCAAUAGAAAUUGAUUUGUAGGACCUAAUUGUGAAAAUGUUUGGAAUCAAAGUCUAGUGCUGAAAUUCUGAUUUACAAAGGUUAUAAAGUAGUCUAAACUGAUGGGAUAAAGUGUUAAUUGAGAAAAAUCAGCUCAAUUGAGAGGUUAAUUGAGCAGGGAUGAAAUUAUCAUUUAUUGAAAGUUUAGGGAAAAAUGGUAAUUAACAUCAUAUACUAAAACAGUUUUGGACAGCAGCAGUACUCUAAUUUUGAAAAAUCACCAAAAAUUGUAGAGAUCGAAUUAGAGGAUUAAUAAAAUAUGAAAUUAAAGCUUAUUGAGUCUAGUUUCUUAUAAAAGAAAAGGUGUAAGUAAUGGAAUUGUAAAUCAUGAGAUAUAAUAGAUUUUGUGAGACAAGGUCAGAAUGAAUUCGGGUUCCCCUGUUCUGACUUUGGAAAAUCAUUAAAAAUUGUACAAAAAUGAUUAUGAGUUAAAAUUUAUAUGGUUAGAAUCCUUAAUAAGUAUAUUUUCAGAAUAAACAAAUGGAAACAUCAUCCAAAUUCUGUACUAUGAGAUAAUUAAUUUUUAGUGAAGAGAGGUCGGAACUGUCGAACAGUGAAACAGGGGAAACUUUAAAGAAUAAACUGUACUUAUUUGCUAAACCAAAAAUUCUGAAACUUUUAUGGUAAGAAUAUAUGUGAGUUUAGUUUCAGGGAAAAUUAACGGAUCUUAAGUUGGAGUUUCGUAGCUCAAGAUAUAAAUAAUUUAGUGACUGUGACUCAGUGAGACAGCUUUGAAUGCACUACAAAUAAUAAUGGAAUUAUAGAGAAUGUCACAUAUGAACAUGAAAAGUAUUAGAUUAAUGAUUAAAUUUAUUUAUUUAGAUCCGGAAAAUUCAAAUACGAAGCAAGAUCGAAGAAAAUAAAAAGUUCGGGAUUAGUAGAUUUUUGGUUACGAACAAGUGUCGAGGUAAGUUCGUGUAACUUGAAUUAUAUUCCUAAAUGUUUGAAAUGUUUGUUAUUGAUGUGAAUAUGAUUUGGAUGUUUAUUGUAUAAUAAUUGAUGAAGUAAUGAUAUUCUUGAUGAAAAGAGAAAAUAAAUCUUGGUUGAAUGAAAGGAAAAUUCGAUGGAUCUCUGAAAAGGAAUUGACGGUAAAAAGGAUCUAGCCCGGACGGGUGAUCCUAUUCUGAUAUAGCCCUCCCGAAGAAUAUGUGGAAAAUAGAUUUAGCCCGGACGGGUAAUCCGAAUUAGGGUCUGAAUUUAUCCUGGACUGGUAAUUCAGAUCCAAGCUCAUUAGAGUAAUUGUCGUUGCAGGGGAUUUAGCCUGGACUGGUAAUCCCGACAAUACUCUGUGAGUUUAUAUUACAGGGGAUUUAGCCUGGACUGGUAAUCCCGCUGUAAGGAUGAGGUUCGCGGGAGUGUGUUCUCUGAAAUGGAAAUGUGCACACAUGAAUAUGAAUUGACGGACCCGGAUUUGUACACUAAAGUGUACCUCUGAAAAUCCAUCGAAAUUCCAAGUAGUUCAAUGGGAUAAAUAUGGAAAAAUAACAAGGAAAUGGAAAUCAUGGAAUUGAUGAGCUCAUUAAUCAUGGUAUAAAUUAUUGAUACAUGGAAAUUAUUGGACUAAUUUGAAUGUUGAGUUUGUGCAUGAUAGGGGAAUAAUGUAUGGAAUGGGUGUAUGAAUGUUUAUUACAUUGUAUGGAAAAUAUUAGGUAAGUAUAAUUCUUGUUACAUGAGCUUACUAAGCACAAAGUGCUUAUCCUGUUUCUUUUUCCCCUGUUUUGUAGUGUUAAGGGCUCGGAGGUCGGAUUUGGUCGGAGACGCAUCACACUAUCAACCUCAAAUUCUCGGUAUAUAAAGAAACUUUAUUUUAGAAAUCAAUGGCAUGUAUAAGCUAGUAAAGUAGAUGUUAAUGUGAAAUGAAUGUAUGGUUAGCCAUUGGUAUGGCUAACAAAUUUUGGUUUUGGCAUGUGAUGAGAUUAUCUUAUGAAUACAAUAAAUCUAUCUUGAAAAUAUGUUGAAAUGGA